UACAGAGGGUGCGAGCGUUAAUCGGAAUUACUGGGCGUAAAGCGCACGUAGGCGGCUUGGUAUGUCGGGUGUGAAAUCCCCGGGCUCAACCUGGGAACUGCAUCCGAAACUGCCUUGCUAGAGUAUGGGAGAGGGAAGUGGAAUUUCCGGUGUAGCGGUGAAAUGCGUAGAUAUCGGAAGGAACAUCAGUGGCGAAGGCGACUUCCUGGACUAAUACUGACGCUCAGGUGCGAAAGCGUGGGGAGCAAACAGG
This 253-nucleotide ribosomal RNA is filed under the name uncultured bacterium. Its description in RNAcentral is "partial 16S ribosomal RNA". It matches the Rfam family "Bacterial small subunit ribosomal RNA", at positions 524 to 776 of the family's 1533-position model. The record is from RNAcentral.